CGCACUGUGGCGGAAUACGUACACGGCAGAGGUGGGUGGUGGCCCAUGUUGGCGAGUUAGAAUAUGCAGAUUUAACGUGCCGUUGACGAGAUGAGCCGCGGAUCGGAAUCGGCAUAUCCGUCUGAUCCGUGGAACAGGAACUUCACUUUCCGUUUGGUGGGCGCAGGGAGUAAUUGAAUGCAGGGUUGAGUGUCUUCUCUACCGCGGCAUAGAGAGGAGAAGCGUCGACGGCGAGCCGCCAUGGAGUAUCUGAUGCAGCCAAUCGGAAGAUCCGCUCUGCUAGAAGAAGUAGGAGAGAGCUUGGUGCCGGCCCCUGCGCCUGCGAAUGUCGGUAUGGUGGUGGAGCAAGAGGUGGCGGAGCAGCAACGGCCGGUGGGUAGCGCGGACGCGCAGAUUAUGGUGGCGAAGGAAGCGGCGGCGGACAGGAGGGAGAGCUCGCCUCCGACGUCAGAGCUCUCAAUUGGGAAGAUAAUCCCCGGGCGUCCGGAUGGAACAAGAGGAUGAGGAUUGGUGUUGCAACACUGAGCAGAACCCCUCGCCCAAAUCUCAUCAGUGCAUUGAGAAGGCUGUUAGGUGUUAUGCUGACAACCCAGGUGAAAAUGUCAUCAUACCAGUUCUUGGGACUUCUUUUGACUCUUUCGGCAAGGCAUACAACUUGUACAAUCUGUACUCAUGUGAGAAGGGCUUUGACAUCCGAUAUGGAAAGAGCCGGCUUAAUGUCGAGAGGACGAAAUGCAUGCAGGAAUAGUGUUUGGCUAUUCGGUGAGUACAAAAUUUGUCUUGCCUCCUGAGCAGAGACGAGAGCUCAAUGGUCAAAAAGGUUUGUUCCUCGAUUGAAUAAGUUAGUACUUUCUUGUUAUUCUGUUGUAGUAUCUGAAUUGCAUGACUCUCUAUCUGCUUACCUGAAUAAUUGGUUAUUGACAUCACUAGACUUGAAUGCAGACUCGUGGCUGUGAUUUUGUUCUCUCUAGUUAGACACAUAGAAUUAGUUAUGACUUAUAAUUUAAAUAACAGGUUCGAUUGAGCUAGAUUUGGCAAUGGAUGUACUAUCUGAAUUUCAUGUCUCUCUGACUGCUUACCUGAAUAAUUGGACAUUGGCGCCAGUAGACAUGAGUGCAGCCUCAUGGCUUUUAUUUUCUUCUUUGUGGUUAGACAUACAGAGUUAGUUCUGACUUAAAUAAAAAGCGAACUCGAUUGUGCUGGUUGUUGCAAAUGUAUUCGUUCUUGCAUGUGCUGAGUAGUACAGGCUUUUGGUGUCGGCCACAAAUUUGCAUCUAGUAGAAAUAUGAUGUGCUGACUAUCUAGGUAAUCAUCGGAUUCCUGAAAUUUUCAUAGUUUUCCAGAAAUAUAAGUAUAAUUAUCUUACAUGUGGAAGUAAAUGUUUUUUUGAAACAUGUUAGUGCAACUGUAAAAUGUGGGUGUCGGAUGGACUGAGACCUGCACUGAAAUACACAGCACUCUCAAGGUGUUUGCAUUACAGUAGAAGGAAUGAGCAGUAACGGAGCCCACAUCAACGCCGGCCUAUCCUCAAUGGAUGGCGUUGCUUUUUAUUACUUGUCGGAUGUGGGCCAUUUGGCUCUGAAAGCUGACAAGAUACAUAUACAACCUAUACUAGCUGGGUUGGUGAUCUCGGAGCUAACAGAGAGGGGUGGGAUAACAAUCACAUUUGUGCUCGAGUGCAGAAUAGAACUUAAUUUGGUUAUGCGUGGUUUGUGAUAUUUAGUGGAUAUGGGCUGUGGAAUCUUCUGCUUUCGUGGCCUUGCUCGAAUAGCAUUUUCAGAAGCGACUGGCUGGAGUAAACUAUAGUUAACAGAUGUUAGGUAAAAAAUCAACUAUGUAUGGGGGGUAUGUCAAAUCUAGGUACCUGCUGGACAUAAUCUAAUUUAGGAAUGGUUAUUAGCCUUGAAUGUAUUGAGAGGAACCAUAGUAAACCAUAUGUCUGAAGAUUAGGUUAUAGUUUCCGAAUUAAAAUUCUAACUGUCAUCAUAGUGGUUGAAGCAAAUAAGUUGAAGCUGCACUCCGGAGUGGAGACAGUGCAUAGUGAAAUAAGAAAACUGAUUGAAUUAGUCAAUUUGUAAAAGGAAUUUAGUCUGGUUUGCGUUUGUCUUACUGAAUAUUAAACAGUGACUUGAGAACUCACUUUUAAAUAGAAGAUUAUGCAUAGUAGUAAUUGUAAAAUUAAUCAAAAAAUAUAUGUUUUGUGGCAUGGGGUUGUAUGUAAAAUUGAUUCUGUACAAAAUGCUUAGAUCAGAUGGAAAAUGGGAAAAAAAUACGUAACACUGCAUAAAAACUAUGUGCUUUUUUUAAACCGUGAAUGACCGUAGGAGAAUCUCAUAUAGUCUUUGUAUUAAGGAGUUAGUAAAUUCCUGUCAGCCAGGGGGUAGGGUUAAAAUGACUAUGAUCCUAGCUAGAAGGUACCACGAGAGAGAGAGAGAGAAGAUCAGAACCGUGCAAUGAAAAGUUGCAACAAAAAUGUAAUGCCUCAGAUGGCUCAUCGUUGGUGCAAGUGGCACGUGCUAAAGAAAGCAAAGGAGUCGCUGGGCUCAUUUUAGAGUAAGAACAAUGACUUCCAAGCAGAGUUCCACAAGAUAGGGAAUCACAUGCUAACCAUCGAUGAAUUUGAGGAGGCUUGGAGGUUCCUGGUUGAAAAGUGUAAUCUGAAGAAGCACGCAUACAUGACAUAAUUGUAUGAGAUCAGGGACAAAUGGGUGAAGCCUUAUUUGAACGGGGUUUUCUGUGCUAAGAUGACUAGUACUCAGCGAAGUGAAAGUACGAACCACAUGCUGAAGAACUACGUUCCGCCGGGUUGCCCUAUGCAUAUGUUUGUGAAUCUAUAUGAGACUUCAAUUUGACCGGGAAGCGGAGGAAAACUAUGAAGAGAAGAAGACAAGAAUAGGUAGACCGCUACAUAGAGCGAACCUGAUCAUCGAGAGACAUGUUGGCAAAAUAUACACUCGAGCUAUGGUCGAGCAGUUCAGUUCAGCCACAUCUGUAUGAGUGUGGUGCAUACCAAGUGGAAGAGAUCAAUAGGCAAAAUGUAUGUUGCAGUUCAGACGGAAGCUGAGCGGAGAGAGAACUGGUGGAGAGUUUCUUACAGUUAUGGAUGGGGGUGACGAGUUUGAUUGCGAGUGUGGACUUUGCAGCCAUGUGUUGAAGGUGCUGGACUUCAUCCGCAUGAAUCAGAUACAUGUGAAGCAUAUACUGAAAAGGCGGACCAAAGAUGCCCGGGAUGUACUGGCUCACCAUCUGUGUCACUAUCAGAAAAAUCUGCAUAAUAAUCCUUUCUCAUACAGACACUUCAACCUGUACAUGCAAGCCAUGGAGCUCUUUUGGCUUGGAGACACAAGCAUGGAUGCAUACGAAAGGUUGAUGGUAUGGGUCUGGGAGACAUGACGGCCAAUAAUGGUUCUCAACCAGAUUGAAACAAUAGGACGCGAACCUGAUGAUCGGAGCAAAUGGUAGCAGGCCACUACCACUAGUGUUGACAACAAUUUUGCAUCCAUCUCAAGCAACAGGCUGUUGGGUCUAUCAGCACCAGCAAAGAGGAAGGAGAGCGGUCGGCAAACCACCAGUCGAAAGAAGGCUCCAUAUGAAGGGCUGAGUAAGAGGACAUGAUUCUGCACCAUUUGCUGUCGUCAGAGACAUAAGAGAACUACAUGUUCUGAUAGAGGUGGUGAACCGAAACAGCCACGGAAGCCAAACAUAUGAAAUUGAGGUUAGCAGCUGGCUGAUACAGAUUUUACUGGUGUCCAACAAACAUUUCGUAACUUAUUGUCGAUGGGGUGAUAGCAGUGUGGUUUUUGGUCCCGUUUGAUAUUUGAGUUAUGCUCUGUUGAUGCAGGUUACCACUUUUUGAGUAGUAGUGUUCAUCUUAGUCUUGGUGCCCAGUUGUGUGUGGACUGUCAGUUAGUUUACUACCAGUCUGCAAUGGAAAAUGUGUUGAUGCAGGUUGCCAUUGUAUGAGUAUUGGUGUUCAGGUUUCGGUUGGUGUCAAAUGCGUACUGUGUGGAUUGUACUCACUUAGUUCAUCAAUACCCAGUGGAAUGCUGAACCUUUUUACUGAA
Long non-coding RNA from Triticum aestivum (bread wheat), 4064 nucleotides. RefSeq lists it as uncharacterized. The record is from RefSeq and is a predicted model, not a curated record. The transcript has 5 exons. NCBI's taxonomy places the organism in Eukaryota, Viridiplantae, Streptophyta, Magnoliopsida, Poales, Poaceae.